Molecule: non-coding RNA, 28 nt
Filed under: Rattus norvegicus (Norway rat)
Lineage: Eukaryota; Metazoa; Chordata; Mammalia; Rodentia; Muridae
Source: RNAcentral
UCCAGAUUCUUGCUUCCUGUGAAAGAAA